Pezoporus occidentalis (night parrot) is the source of this 814-nucleotide long non-coding RNA. RefSeq lists it as uncharacterized. Lineage: Eukaryota; Metazoa; Chordata; Aves; Psittaciformes; Psittacidae. The transcript has 3 exons. The record is from RefSeq and is a predicted model, not a curated record.
CUGCACCAUAAUGCAUAGCUACUCAACUCUGAUUUCUCCCCAUGAUUUAGGGACUGAAGUAGUAUAUGUGGGUUAACUUGCCUAGUGGUUCAUUUUGAAAAUUUCCUUUGGAGUUUUCUUUUUUUUUUUUUUUAUUUUCUCCCUAAUUUCACGGGAGGCCAAGUAGCUGUUCCCAUUAUUCCAGUAAGGAUUUGGGUUUUUUUUCAGUUUAUUAUCCAUUUCCACAUCACCUCUGUGACUUCAUUGUCCAGGUGUCCUGGUUUUGACACCACAACACCAGGAUAAAUUCAGGAGUGCAGAAGAGGUGUCGACUUAUCUAAUAAUGUAAAAUAAAUAACCUGUUUUCUUUAACUUCUCAAAGAAUAAUAGACUGUUGCUGACACAAAAAAAAAAAAAUCCAGACUGUUAUUGCCUUGCCAUGAGGCCAGGAUUUACAAAUUUCUAAUCAUCAGAGAGGUGAGACUUCAGGAAGGCUUUUCACUAGUGAGGUGUAGAAUAAAAAAGGAGAAGGGGAAGGCAAAAUAUACAACUAGUUUUGGAGAAAUCCUGUUGAGAACAAGGAGGUCUGGUGUAGAAUCUGAGACACUGGGAAACAAGACCCACUGACAGGAAUUCCCCUCCAUAGGAAUAAGAAACAGUUAAUUUGGCUUGACUUCUGGAGCUGUUGAAGAACAGAAUAUAAUCUUUACCACUGAUUCAAGAUUAAGGCUGAAUGAAAAAUAAAAAAUUAUUAGCCAAAUUUAGCCUUGUAGGAAUGUCCCAACUGAAAAUACAGACAGCAGAGCAUGGCAGAAUAGUCAACACAUUUGAACUC